Molecule: ribosomal RNA, 253 nt
Filed under: uncultured bacterium
Lineage: Bacteria
Description: partial 16S ribosomal RNA
Rfam family: Bacterial small subunit ribosomal RNA
Source: RNAcentral
UACGUAGGCAGCGAGCGUUGUUCGGAAUUACUGGGCGUAAAGAGUGUGUAGGCGGUGCUCUAAGUUCGGUGUGAAAUCUCCUGGCUUAACUGGGAGGGUGCGCCGGAAACUGGGGUGCUCGAGCGUGGGAGAGGAAAGCGGAAUUCCUGGUGUAGCGGUGAAAUGCGUAGAUAUCAGGAGGAACACCUGUGGCGUAGACAGCUUUCUGGACCAUUGCUGACGCUGAGACACGAAAGCGUGGGUAGCAAACAGG